Pangasianodon hypophthalmus (striped catfish) is the source of this 4666-nucleotide long non-coding RNA. RefSeq lists it as uncharacterized. The record is from RefSeq and is a predicted model, not a curated record. NCBI's taxonomy places the organism in Eukaryota, Metazoa, Chordata, Actinopteri, Siluriformes, Pangasiidae. The transcript is spliced from 3 exons.
AUUACAGGUGCGAUAGAGGAAAUAAUCAAAUCAGCAAGAAAGGCCCUGAAUUUAACACACCACAAAACACACACACUUGCACAAACAACACAAAUGCACACACAGACACACACCAAUGUAAAGGCAUUAUAGACUAAUAUGUUGUCUCCUUUCUCUAAUUCUUUUUUUCUCUUUCUUUCUCACAGAGAGAGAGAGAGAGGGAGAGUAAAGGUCUGUUCUCACAGUUUGGUUAAUCAGUUACUGUGUUGUAUAAGACCUCCGUUAAUACUCUGUCCACACACAGACAGACAGACACACACAUACACACACACACACACACACACACACACUUCUGAGCAUUUAAAGCUGGGACAAAGAGACGUUUCGUGCUUUCUGAAGCCUCCCCAAAGGGUGUGUGUUUUUCAACGCGAACAAUAGCCGAGGAGGAUUAAAUGUGAGGAUUUCCUGCAGUUUAUUUAUCCUCUUCUGUGACUGAACAAGGAGUCAAUCUAUGAAGAAUCGAUUAACCAGUGUGAGGGUGUGGGUGUUGGGAGUCUGUUAUUUAUCCAGCAUCAAAUUUCCAGCAUGGCUAAUCCACAGAACAUCCAUGAACUAGAGCUACACAACACUGGAAGAGAUUCUUACCCCAGCUGUGGAAGCAUCUCCAGAUGUAUCGCAGGUUGAUGGACAGAGUUUCCAUGGAUAGCUUGUGGCCUCACAGGGGCCCUGUUUGACGUGAUUGUCCACAUCAUCGGCCGAAAAAUUGCCCGGAAGGACUCUACACAUGAAGAAUUCAUCAGCAAGGCUGAGGGCAUGUCUUUGUCUUUGGUAAAAUUUAUUCCUCCCAUUAAACCAUUACAAAGUGAGAGGGUCAUGACAUGUAAAGAUUCUUGAACAGUAGAAUUCAGAUACUAAGAAACAGAAGCUCUUAGGGAAAAGGUUGCAUAUAGCAUCUUAAAGUUUUCUAUAUUUUGACCCUCUUGGUGAACCCUAUGUAGAACCUAAAAAGGUCUAAAGAGUACAAAGUCUGUUUCCCUUUCAGAAAAGGUUCCCUUUAUAAAGCAAGAACUGUUGACCAUUCAAAUACCUCUUGAGGAACCCUAUUUCUAGAAGUGUAGGACUGUCUACUCACUUUUGGGGGCCCUAAACGACAUCCUAGUUAUGUCCUUCCAUCUGAAGUUGCAGACACAAGGGGCCCCCUAGUGCAUUCUUAUGGGGUCCCCUGGUGGCUCAGGGGCCCUAAGUGACUCCCCAGAUCAGUUACACCAAGAAACGGCUCUGUGUCUAUUUAAGCAUUAAAACUAAAAGCAGUGUAGAAUAACUUUUUACUGAUGUGUUUAUUAUGGUUUAAUGUCUAAUUUACAUUCAAUAAAAUACAUCCAGUAUAUGGUUUCAGACUCAUACAACUUACCAUCUCUACUGCUGUCCCUGAAGUGGUGAAAGCUUUCUGGGAACGCCAGGGUCAAUGGUACAUGCCGAUACAGAAACAGGAACACUGGCAGACUAUUCCUGAGCAGUUCUGAGUGUGCUUGGACUUCCCUAAUUGUUUGAGCUCCACUGAUGUAUAGCAAUAUCCCACAAUUACAAGUGAACAUAAUCCAUCUUUCCGAUUGCAGUAAUUUAUCCCAACUACAGCUUCAGGGUGAUUGAUGUGACUGUGUAUUGCCGAGGAAGCAAUGGUGGAAUUCUGAGGGCAGUCUCUUGAUGCCAGGACACUCAGAAUCCCUCCAGAUGUACUAAUAAGUGGAUGUCUUCUUUACACAUUUCUAGGGAAUGAAAUCUAUUCCUCUGUGCUCUCACCUUAUGCAAAAAAAUGCCAAGACAACAAUGCAUUUCCAACUACUGUCUAUUCUGGGUGAGGUUGGUGGAGAAAAUAAUGCCUUAGGCAUUCUGUUUUUAUGGUUCAAGAUGUAAGGUUUGAAGCCAACCUUUGUCCUCAAGAAUCUUCAUUCUCAGAAAAAACAGAACUAAACUGUAAUUUUGCUUGUCUCUGGGGUGGUACCCUCAAUGGUACAUCUUUUGUACCUUUAAUAUGUAUCUUUUAUGUAUGUGGCUAUAGUGUACCUUUAAAAAUUAUUUAAUGAGCAUAAAUGGACCUUAAUAAAUUUUUUCAGUAAAGUUUUAAAGGUACACCACGUGCAACAGGUAAAAGAUACAUACUUGAGGGUACCACUCUAGUGACAAGGAAAGGUAGUACUCAUGCUUAGGAUAGAGUUUUUAGAGAGGUGCAAAGAAAAACCCUUCAGUACUAGUGGCAGCAACCUGGACAGCAUCACCUCACCCCGACAAUGCUACCAGGGAGGCUUAAAAAGGGUUCCUCAAGGUUUCUUUAAACAGCUAUGGGUUCCUUGCCACUUGGAACCCUCCCUAAUGGAGAAAAGCCUCUGGUCUGGUAGUCCAAUUGGAGAGAGCAUCCAAUGUCAAGUUUACUUUAAGAAAGAGAAAGUUGCUGUCAUAUCCAGAAGAAUCAGUCUAUAGUGUUGUUUCAACAGGAAAAUCCACAAGCUCAUCUUCCCCCCUCUUCAUGCUAGGCAGCAAACUUUCCAGAAACUGUUUAUCUGGGUCAGGUGGCACAGCAGGGUGGUGGACAGGGGCAGCAGAUGAGCCAAACUUAAUUCCCUUCAAACAAGACACAGUAAGGGCAUUCAUACUUCUCUGUCAGGUCUACUGUUGUUUCCUUUCUCUUUAGUGAGGGACUCUUCUUCCCCUCCAUGUCAUCUUCAAUCUUCAGUCUACCUUCCUUGAUGCUUUGAUCUUCCUUCCUCACCUCCACUCUCCAUUUCAUCUAUCUUCCUGAGUAUGUCUUUCCUCCAUCUUUUGCCAUGCUUCUCUCAUAUUCUGUCCUCCAUGUCAUGCUAAGGCAAUCUAUGAACACAAAUUUGACUGGAAAAGCAAUUCACCAAUAUUUGUAAACCUACUCUUAAUUGGGCAGCAAUUAUGGCAGUAGUGGCUCAGUGAUUAAGGCAUUACACUAUGAUUGGACGGUCGUUAAAAUCCCAUCAUCGCCAACCUGCCACUGUUGUCCUUAAGCCAAACCAUUAACCCUCAACUGCUCAGAUGUAUCCUAUCUCAAUUUUAAGUUGCCUAGAAUAAAAGCAUCAGCCAUAUGAGUAAAAUGCAAAAUGUUUUUCAGAACUUUCAUGGAACUUUCAUCAUUUGGUCUGGUGAAUAGAAGGUUAGGAGAAUACAUGAGAUGCUGCCCUGAAAUUUGCUCCAAAACAGGAAACUCAAUGGGGAGCUGCCUUCCAAAUGGUCCAGCCUUUAUAUUUCGGGAGUGCACAAAUCAGGCCCAGAAUGUGCUCUAUCUAGGGAACUGGCUUCUGCUUCCUACGCAACGACAGUGUUGGUCUAAAAUUUGUGAAGAAUGAUGGAGUUAUAAGAAUUGUGUGUAUCUAAGUACAUAUCUCUGUCUCUCAGUUAGCUUACAGGAUUUGAGGGAUUACUGAGAAUAUGUGUGUAACUGUGUGUGCUGCGUCAUCGCGCUUAAGGAAUGCCCAGGAAUUCCAGACGUGGACAUGCGUCACUGAGGGCCUUUAAAUCACCUCAACGGAAGUGCAUUCCUCCCUCGCUUGCUUGCUCUAAUAUAAACCAACACUCUAUUAGCCAAAAAAGGAGAACAGCAAAAACGAACACAUUUCUACCAAUUACAGUGAGUCAUAUCAACUCACACACAUACACAUUUCUUCUUUCGCUCCAGCAUAGGCUACAGAGCACAGCGGCCGCAAUGGUUCGCGUUUAGAAAACUUUUCAUAUGUAUAUCAUCUCAGUAUUUUUUUUCAAGUACUCAGUUCGGUCCUCUGAAAAACUAUGCAGGGUACACAUCUGGACUGCAGUCCACCAGUUGAUGACCCAUAACAUAUAGUGAUCCUCUUUAUUAUGCAUGAUUUAUUACUGUUAUUUAACAUUUAAUGGCACAUUUGUAUAGAAGCCAGUAAUUUUGUUUGCACUGCUAAUAAAGCAAAUAAAGCAAAUGUUGAAAUCUGAUAGAGAGAGAAAAAGAAACAGAGCAAGACAAGGAGAACCAGCCAGACAGAGAGAUAGAGCAGAUAAGUUCUGGUUGCUGUUAAUGUUCAGUGAUGUUAUUAGUGAAGGCUAACAUGUGAAGCCAACACAUCUUUUCAAACUGGUGCUCAUGUACGUCACGAGGCAGCUAACACACAGAACUCAGAACACACAUACACUGUUAUUAAAUAAAGCGAGCUAACAUGAAAUGAAACAUAAUGCGAGAUAACACAAACUACACAUAUGACACAAAGCAAGCUAAUAUGCACCAACACACACCACGGGAAGCGUGCUAAUACACGCCACAUGAAGCAAGCUACGACAGUGUAUAAAAUAAGCUAAUGCUAACACACACCACAUGAAGCAAGCUAUCACACCCCUACAUGAAGUUAGCUAACACACACUUCAUGAAGCUAGCUAACACACACCACAUGAAGCAAGCUAACGAACACCACAUGAAGUUAGCAGACGCACACAGCAUGAAUUGUGCUAAUCAGCUCUACAGAUUAGAUCAGUACACACCAGCAGCAGGAAAGAAAAGACUAAAACACUCUUCUACACUUACUUGAAGUCAGUGUGUGUGAGCUUACCUACCUGGCUAAGAAUAAAUCUGUACCUCGUGUUUUUUAAAUAUUUAGCCGAGUGGCCCACCUGCUGUCCCGAGAUUCCCGAAACCUGAACCGCU